GAUGAACGCUGGCGGCGUGCCUAAUACAUGCAAGUCGAGCGAACGGACGAGAAGCUUGCUUCUCUGAUGUUAGCGGCGGACGGGUGAGUAACACGUGGAUAACCUACCUAUAAGACUGGGAUAACUUCGGGAAACCGGAGCUAAUACCGGAUGAUAUUUUGAACCGCAUGGUUCAAAAGUGAAAGACGGUCUUGCUGUCACUUAUAGAUGGAUCCGCGCUGCAUUAGCUAGUUGGUAAGGUAACGGCUUACCAAGGCAACGAUGCAUAGCCGACCUGAGAGGGUGAUCGGCCACACUGGAACUGAGACACGGUCCAGACUCCUACGGGAGGCAGCAGUGGGGAAUCUUCCGCAAUGGGCGAAAGCCUGACGGAGCAACGCCGCGUGAGUGAUGAAGGUCUUCGGAUCGUAAAACUCUGUUAUUAGGGAAGAACAUAUGUGUAAGUAACUGUGCACAUCUUGACGGUACCUAAUCAGAAAGCCACGGCUAACUACG
RNAcentral lists this ribosomal RNA (495 nucleotides) under uncultured bacterium. RNAcentral describes it as "partial 16S ribosomal RNA". It matches the Rfam family "Bacterial small subunit ribosomal RNA", at positions 28 to 505 of the family's 1533-position model. The record is from RNAcentral.